UACGGAGGAUCCGAGCGUUAUCCGGAUUUAUUGGGUUUAAGGGUGCGUAGGCGGCCAGUUAAGUCAGGGGUGAAAUACGGUGGCUCAACCAUCGCAGUGCCUUUGAUACUGACGGGCUUGAAUCCAUUUGAAGUGGGCGGAAUAAGACAAGUAGCGGUGAAAUGCAUAGAUAUGUCUUAGAACUCCGAUUGCGAAGGCAGCUCACUAAGCUGGUAUUGACGCUGAUGCACGAAAGCGUGGGGAUCGAACAGG
RNAcentral lists this ribosomal RNA (252 nucleotides) under uncultured bacterium. RNAcentral describes it as "partial 16S ribosomal RNA". It matches the Rfam family "Bacterial small subunit ribosomal RNA", at positions 524 to 776 of the family's 1533-position model. The record is from RNAcentral.